RNAcentral lists this ribosomal RNA (1383 nucleotides) under uncultured bacterium. RNAcentral's name for it is "bacterial SSU rRNA". It matches the Rfam family "Bacterial small subunit ribosomal RNA". The record is from RNAcentral.
AGAGUUUGAUCCUGGCUCAGGAUGAACGCUGGCGGCGUGCUUAACACAUGCAAGUCGAACGAAGCAUUUUAAAAUGAGACUUCGGUGGAUUUUUAAAAUGACUGAGUGGCGGACGGGUGAGUAACGCGUGGGCAACCUGCCUUACACAGGGGGACAACAGUUAGAAAUAGCUGCUAAUACCGCAUAAGCGCACAGUACCGCAUGGUACAGUGUGAAAAACUCCGGUGGUGUAAGAUGGGCCCGCGUUGGAUUAGCUAGUUGGAGGGGUAACGGCCCACCAAGGCGACGAUCCAUAGCCGACCUGAGAGGGUGACCGGCCACAUUGGGACUGAGACACGGCCCAAACUCCUACGGGAGGCAGCAGUGGGGAAUAUUGCACAAUGGGCGAAAGCCUGAUGCAGCGACGCCGCGUGAGCGAAGAAGUAUUUCGGUAUGUAAAGCUCUAUCAGCAGGGAAGAAAAUGACGGUACCUGACUAAGAAGCCCCGGCUAACUACGUGCCAGCAGCCGCGGUAAUACGUAGGGGGCAAGCGUUAUCCGGAUUUACUGGGUGUAAAGGGAGCGUAGACGGUGUGGCAAGUCUGAUGUGAAAGGCAUGGGCUCAACCUGUGGACUGCAUUGGAAACUGUCAUACUUGAGUGCCGGAGGGGUAAGCGGAAUUCCUAGUGUAGCGGUGAAAUGCGUAGAUAUUAGGAGGAACACCAGUGGCGAAGGCGGCCUACUGGGCUGUAACUGACGCUGAGGCUCGAAAGCGUGGGUAGCAAACAGGAUUAGAUACCCUGGUAGUCCACGCCGUAAACGAUGAUUACUAGGUGUGGGGGGACUGACCCCUUCCGUGCCGGAGUUAACACAAUAAGUAAUCCACCUGGGGAGUACGGCCGCAAGGCUGAAACUCAAAGGAAUUGACGGGGGCCCGCACAAGCAGUGGAGUAUGUGGUUUAAUUCGAAGCAACGCGAAGAACCUUACCAGGUCUUGACAUCGAGUGACGAACUUAGAGAUAAGUUCUUCCUUCGGAACACGAAGACAGGUGGUGCAUGGUUGUCGUCAGCUCGUGUCGUGAGAUGUUGGGUUAAGUCCCGCAACGAGCGCAACCCUUAUCAUUAGUUGCUACGCAAGAGCACUCUAAUGAGACUGCCGUUGAUAAAACGGAGGAAGGUGGGGAUGACGUCAAAUCAUCAUGCCCCUUAUGACCUGGGCUACACACGUACUACAAUGGUGAUUAAACAGAGGGAAGCAACACAGCGAUGUGAAGCAGAACCCGAAAAAUCAUCUCAGUUCAGAUUGCAGGCUGCAACUCGCCUGCAUGAAGUCGGAAUUGCUAGUAAUCGCGGAUCAGCAUGCCGCGGUGAAUACGUUCCCGGGCCUUGCACACACCGCCCGUCA